AAAUAAAAUUGUUGAAUGUUCGAAGGAAUGGUGGACUGAACACCUUGCUGUAAGAACUUGAUGCAACAAUUCUUUAAAAGGAAUUAAAUGCAACCAUGUGAGGUUCAGGAAACAAGGAUCGAAGCACCUUGAUGAUUUGCAUAUAUUUUUUAAUAAGACACAUGUUAAUGCUAGCGGGGUUAGUGUAUUAUGUCGUGAUGAUGUUUCCUCCGAUGAGUCGUGUGAUGAGGAUAUGGAUGAGGUCCAAAAAUCAGUAGAUAAUGAUGAAGUCAAGUUGGCUGUAUUGAAGAAAUCAAAACAAGAAAAAAAGAAACGAAAGGACAGCUCUACUGCUACUAAAAAGAAGGACGAGAAGAGCUUAUUCUUUCGACUGUACACGAACACAUGUUUGAAGAUAGAAACAGCAGCAAAGAAGAUCUCGUCAAGUGUUGAAGCAUCGUCAACUCCUCCAACCAACCAAGUUCCUACCACUAAAGAGGCAACGCAAAUGGUCAAAGAUUGUAUGGUGCAAGAGAAAACUGCUCUAAUGCACAGAGUUUAAUGAUCAUUUUCCAUAUAAA
Molecule: long non-coding RNA, 560 nt
Organism: Panicum hallii
Lineage: Eukaryota; Viridiplantae; Streptophyta; Magnoliopsida; Poales; Poaceae
Exons: 2
Source: RefSeq, a predicted model, not a curated record